GACGAACGCUGGCGGCGUGCUUAACACAUGCAAGUCGAACGAUGAAGCCGGAGCUUGCUCUGGUGAAUUAGUGGCGAACGGGUGAGUAACACGUGAGUAACCUGCCCUUGACUCUGGGAUAACGGCGGGAAACUGUAGCUAAUACCGGAUACGACCCUCGGAGGCAUCUCCUGGGGGUGGAAAGAAUUUCGGUCAAGGAUGGACUCGCGGCCAAUCAGCUAGUUGGUGAGGUAAAGGCUCACCAAGGCGACGACGGGUAGCCGGCCUGAGAGGGUGACCGGCCACACUGGGACUGAGACACGGCCCAGACUCCUACGGGAGGCAGCAGUGGGGAAUAUUGCACAAUGGGCGCAAGCCUGAUGCAGCAACGCCGCGUGAGGGAUGACGGCCUUCGGGUUGUAAACCUCUUUUAGCAGGGAAGAAGCGAAAGUGACGGUACCUGCAGAAAAAGCACCGGCUAACUACGUGCCAGCCGCCGCCGUAA
Molecule: ribosomal RNA, 484 nt
Filed under: uncultured bacterium
Lineage: Bacteria
Description: partial 16S ribosomal RNA
Rfam family: Bacterial small subunit ribosomal RNA
Source: RNAcentral